GGCGGGCGGGAGCCGGACGGCGGGGCGGCCGGAGCAGGAAGCGCCGCGUUCAGAUCUGCUGAUUGGGGAGGAAAAAAACUCUUUGGAUCUUCAUUCUGCUAAUUAGUUUCCUGCAAAAAAUGGCUGAUUAGUGCAGUGCGCAUGUGCCUCAUUACCCAGGCACGACGGGAAGGGCUAAUUAGCCACCUUCUGGAUCAAUAAGAUUCAGCCCAGGCGGCGGGGGAGGGAGGGAGCGAGGGAGGGGGAGCGCGCGCGGGCGGAGCGGCGGACGAGGGAGGGGGAGGGCAAGCGGGGGCGCACUACCGCCUCGCCCCGCGCAUUCCAGCCCUUUUCUGGCCGCCACGGCGGCUGGAGCCGGAUGGGGAAGUUGCCGGGGAAGUUGGGGCUCGGCGGGAAGAGGCUCGCCAGGACGCGGCCCCGAUCCGGCUCCGGCUUCCAGUGGCAACGUCACGGCCUGGGAUGGCUUCCGCCGGGCGUCCUCGGCGUGGUCAAGGCAGCCGGCCCGGCGGCGGCGCCUCCUUCCGGAAGGCCGGGCUCGGGUCCCCUGCGACGCGGCGGUGCUCGGACUUGGCCAGGGGAGCGGCGGGAAGGCCCGGCGAGGGGCCGCUGGAGGUCGGCUGGGGACUGGGAGGAGUUGCGGGCGGGGGAAAGCUCUGCGGACGGAGCUCCCGCCCGCCUGGCCGAGGGGCCCAGUGUUGGCCGCGCCCAGCCCGGCCGCGCUGCAGUCGGGAAGCGCUUGAGCCGCCAGCGGCUGGCAAGACGCCCGAAGAGCCGAGCCGCGGGCAGCGAGACGGAUCGCGGGCGGUCCCGGCCGAAAGGAGCGGGGGACGGCGGGCCGGAGUGGCCUGAAGCUCGUGCUGCCCGGCCCGGCUGUCUGGAGGCGGAGCGGCGCUGUCGGCCGGCGCUGAAAAGCUCGCGGGCGGCCGCGUCCUUGGCCCGGUUGCCUCGGCGAUGGUUCCCCGUGAGAAGCUGGGCUCUUCCUGGGAGAAGCGGCUCCGGGUCGACAGAAGCUCAAGGAAACUGCUCCAGCUGUCGCAAAGGGCUUUGUUUUAAAAUUCCUCUCUUGUUUUU
RNAcentral lists this long non-coding RNA (1071 nucleotides) under Naja naja (Indian cobra). RNAcentral describes it as "lncRNA (ENSNNAG00000013590.1)". Lineage: Eukaryota; Metazoa; Chordata; Lepidosauria; Squamata; Elapidae. The record is from RNAcentral.